This 930-nucleotide long non-coding RNA is filed under the name Mytilus galloprovincialis (Mediterranean mussel). Lineage: Eukaryota; Metazoa; Mollusca; Bivalvia; Mytilida; Mytilidae. The record is from RNAcentral.
UACUGGGGAGAUGCUAUGGUAUGAUCGUGUUUCUUUGAAUUUCAUCAAACACUAAAAUUAGUAAAUGAACUAUAUUCAACGGGCACAAUAUGUUUGCACCGUGUUUUUUUACCUAUAACGUGAAAGAACAUUUGCACUCCAAACAUGCGUAAAACUUUGAUGCACCUUGAUUAAAUCCACAGGACAUUUGCAAGAACUUAAAUACGUCAAUGAUAAAGCUAUGAAAAGUCGAGGAAGAACAUUUUCCCGCCAAAAUUUCAAUAGCAAAUAUCUCGAAAACAAGCACAUUGACCUAUAUAUUUUUGUUGCACAAUUGGUUCCUUAAUAAAACCGCAAGCGUCCUUUUAAAAAGGCGCAAACUUCUCGUGUCAAUUCAGUUGUGAUGGUGUUGAUUUUAAUAAGAUUAGUACGUGAAGAUUUUGAGAAUUUUAAUGUAGGACUAUUUAUGACAGGCCUUUGAAAUCGGUAAACAAAAACUUCAAAACAAAUUGCCAGUAUAUGGACAUGAAGUUUCAAAGUGCAUUUGUCAUUCUGUGUUUUUAUUUACAGAAUCAUGUCUUUUUUGCAGUUAAACUAUUUGAAUCUACGUAAAAAGAAUAUUGCUCAUGAAUAUUUAUAAGGUACCUGUCAAAACAACGUGUAGUGUUAUCCUUUGACAUCACAACAAAUUCAUUACCGCCUAAAGACAUUGGAAGUUCAUUCAUGCGGUUGGUCAAUUCGCUUGGUGACGACAGUCACGUGCAGAUAGCCCGGAGUCGGUGCAUAACGAGCAAUAAACUUUUACAUCAUUACAUCUACAAAACUUGGUGUAUUAGGCAUAUUAUGCAAUGCAAUAUGCAAAUGCGCGUACAAAAAUGGGGAAAUACAUCUCCAUGAUUAAGGUAAUAAAUCAUGACAAUUUUAUUUUGUCAGACGACCAAAACAACAAAC